CAGUGUCGUUUCAUAGACACAUUCCCGUUGAGUCUUCCGGUGGAAGCAGGUUGUUGGUGCCACACUCAAGAAGUAUCAUUCAGGCUAAUCUGCUUAAAAUGACAGGAUAGUAGCGUUUUUUUGGGUGCCACCGCGUGCGAAAAUGAAGUCCUGCAGCAUUAUGUACUUCACAGCUCGAAUUCUGCCGAACUUGAGGUCUCUCUCUUAAGAGUUUUCGUGCCGUACCUACACCCUAAAGAUUCCAUCUGUUCGGGAAGCGGCUUCCGGAACGGUUGACAACAAAGAUGGCUCAUUGAUCCACUUCAGUUUCUGAUCUAAAUAGAGC
Molecule: long non-coding RNA, 325 nt
Organism: Varroa destructor (honeybee mite)
Lineage: Eukaryota; Metazoa; Arthropoda; Arachnida; Mesostigmata; Varroidae
Source: RefSeq, a predicted model, not a curated record